UACGGAGGAUGCGAGCGUUAUCCGGAUUUAUUGGGUUUAAAGGGUGCGUAGGCGGACUGUCAAGUCAGCGGUAAAAUUGAGAGGCUCAACCUCUUCCCGCCGUUGAAACUGGUGGUCUUGAGUGGAUGAGAGGUACGCGGAAUGCGUGGUGUAGCGGUGAAAUGCAUAGAUAUCACGCAGGACUCCGAUUGCGAAGGCAGCGUACCGGCAUCCAACUGACGCUGAGGCACGAAAGCGUGGGGAUCAAACAGG
This 252-nucleotide ribosomal RNA is filed under the name uncultured bacterium. Its description in RNAcentral is "partial 16S ribosomal RNA". It matches the Rfam family "Bacterial small subunit ribosomal RNA", at positions 524 to 776 of the family's 1533-position model. The record is from RNAcentral.